This 21-nucleotide non-coding RNA is filed under the name Caenorhabditis elegans. Lineage: Eukaryota; Metazoa; Nematoda; Chromadorea; Rhabditida; Rhabditidae. The record is from RNAcentral.
UUAUCUCUUCAAUAGGUCCCU